This is a long non-coding RNA of Ctenopharyngodon idella (grass carp), 2815 nucleotides long. RefSeq lists it as uncharacterized. The record is from RefSeq and is a predicted model, not a curated record. The transcript is spliced from 2 exons. Lineage: Eukaryota; Metazoa; Chordata; Actinopteri; Cypriniformes; Xenocyprididae.
CAUCUAUACGUAAACUCAUGAUUAAUAAUAAAGUAUGUGAAAACAAUAAAGAUAUCGCUGAAUAUGUCACCCAGUUUUAUAAAAAUCUGUACACUUCAGACCCUUAUAAUGAUAGAGAAACAGAUUUAUUUGAGUAACAUUUCUGACACAACAAAGAAUUACAAUUAUUCCUAAGCCUAAUAAGGAUAAACUUUACAUUGACAACUGGAGACCAGUUACCCUUCUGAAUAAUGAUGCUAAACUAUUUGUUCUAGUUUUUGGAAAAAGAUUAAAGAAAGAUCUAGAAGAGAUCAUUGAGGAAGAACAGUCAGGGUUUAUGACAUAUCAGUAAUAAUAUCAGAUUGAUUUUAGAUAUGAUUGAUUACAAUUGCUUUAUACCAACUGAGUCUUUGAUGCUAUUCAUAGACUUUUACAAAACAUUUGAUACCGUGAGUCAUGAGUUUAUGUUCAAAUGCAUUUUGGUUUUGGAGAUUACUUCCAAAAAGCUGUUAGAACUAUUUACAACGGAUGUAAUAGUUCAGUCAAAUUAUUCAUGUGUACAAGUGGUAGAUUUAAGAUUAAUCGAGGUAUACAGCAGGGUAGCCCUUUGUCUCCAGAUUUGUUUUUAUUAGUUACACAAAUUAUGGCUCUACAUAUUUAAAAAACAGAGUUCGAAGGUAUAAGAGUGUUUGAAAGAGUAUUUAAAUUGUGUCAAUUGGCUGAUGAUACUACUAUUCUUCUUAAAAAUGAUUCAGAAAUAAUAAAAGUGAUUAAUUGCAUUAAAGUGUUUUCCUCAGUAUCGGUUUUUAAAAUGAAUAUUAAUAAAUCGGUGCUGUUUCCACUUAAAGAAUGUAAUUUAACAGAAUUACAUGGUAUUCCUAUUAAACAUACAGUCACAUAUUUAGGAGUUAUUAUACAUAAAGAUGAGCAUGAACGCAGUGUGCUCAAUUUCAGCCAAUAAUUGACAAAACAAAAACAAGAUUUAAUAUCUGGCUUCAAAGAGAUUUAUCCCUGAAUGGUAGGGUCUUACUAUCCAAAGCAGAAGAGAUAUCAAGAUCUGUUUAUGUGUCUUUAGCUUUAGAUCUAAUGUGUGCAAUAGACACCAUUAUCUGAGAAAAGAAAUUUUAUGUAAACCAAAGAGCAAAGGAGAAUUAUCUGUGCUUAGAUUUGAAACUUUAAAUAAUACAUUCAAGAUUAAUUGUUUGAUCAAAUUUAUUAAAGAAAAGGAUCGUAUGUGGUAUACAUUUCCAAAACAUGUGUUUGACAUAGAUCUUCUUUUGAGAUGUGAUUUUAAAAGUGAAAAACUUCCUGUUAAAUGAGCUAAAUUUCACAAAUGAGCUUUAUUGGCCUGGAUGCUGGUGUUUAAGCACAAUAUUUCCCCAAAUAAAUACAUUAUUUGGAAUAAUAGGUGCAUCCAAUAUAAAAAUAGAUCUCUUCUAUAAUAGUUGGUAUGAAAAUAAUAUUGCGUUAGUUAGACAACUUUUAAAUUCAAUUGGUAAUUUGUUAUCUUAUAGUGAAUUCUUGGAUAAAUUUGGUUUCAGUUACGCUGUUGUAUUUGACGCCAAACCUCAACAAGUUAUACAUUUUGUAAGAGCUUGUGGAAGUGAUUCUUCUGAGGCAAUAUUCGUUAAAGGCAGCAUGUUUAUAGGAGACAUUGAUAUUUUGAAACACAAUUGUACAAAUAAACAUAUUAGGAAUAUUAUAAUAGAUGAAACAGCUACUCAUAAAAGCUUAUUGUGGACCUGUGAAUUUACAAAUAUAAACAGGAAAAAAGCUUGCCGUAUUUGUGAAGCUGUUUAAAUAAAGUAAAAGAGGUUACAUUUAAAAUUUUACAUGGUAUAUAUCCAGCUAAAAGAGUGUUAGAGAGGUUUAAUUUAGAGAGUGAUUAUUCAUGUGAUUUUUGUUCAAUGGAAAAAGAAUCUAUUGUCCAUCUGUUUUGUAAUUGUAUAUACACAAAGAUUUUUUGGGUGGAUGUGGAAAAUUUCAUUAGAAGGAAAACAAAUGUUAUAUUUAAAUUAAAUAAAUUUGACAUAUAUAUAUAUAUAUAUAUAUAUAUAUAUAUAUAUAUAUAUAUAUAUAUGUAUUAUUCCAAUGAAACUAAUAAUAAUUUUACUUUUAUUGUACAACUGUUUAUUAUUUUGGGGAAAUUUCACAUACACAAGAAGAAAUGAUCAGGAUCCAAGCCAAAUUUGAUUCAUUUUCUUCAGGAGACUAAGGACUACUGCACCAGUUUGGAGAACAUUAUAAAUAAAAAAGCAAGGAAGACUUGUCAUAUUUUUAAGGAAUAUUUUGAUUAAUGAAUCAAUGAUUUGUAUGCUCUGGCAUGUUUUUUUUCUGUGUAUUAAUAUGUAAAUGUCUGUUUAUGAUUGUAUAUUCCUCUGGUUAAUAAUAAUUAAAAAAAAAAAAAGUGAGAUGAUCAUGACACUGUCAGAAAAUGAUCUCAGGCUAUCUUUGAUCACAAGACCGUCUUUGAACCUCUCUCACUGUACGAUGUUUAGGAGCCACGAUUGUUUCACGACGAUCAUCUUUCGUCUGGGACAGCACAAAAUCAUACAGUGUGUACCAGAGAUUAGAGAGAAUAAAUCUUUUUGUAGGAGACUUUGAGCUUUGUAACUUUGCAGAUCUUAUACAUGCACAAACAGAUACAUAACAGACUAAAGAAAGAGAAAACAUGAAAUCGCAUCACAUGACCCCUAUAAUACAUUAAUACAAAUAUAAUACAACUAUUAUUAAAAACAUGAUGUAUACACUCAAGCUUCCAUUAUUUGUUUUCCAAAAGUGAGCUUGAACUGUUUUUUUUUUCUUUUCAUAAUUAUGAAACUAACUUGUAACAAAA